UACGUAGGUGGCAAGCGUUGUCCGGAAUUAUUGGGCGUAAAGCGCGCGCAGGCGGUCUUUUAAGUCUGAUGUGAAAGCCCACGGCUCAACCGUGGAGGGUCAUUGGAAACUGGGGGACUUGAGUGCAGGAGAGAAGAGUGGAAUUCCACGUGUAGCGGUGAAAUGCGUAGAGAUGUGGAGGAACACCAGUGGCGAAGGCGACUCUUUGGCCUGUAACUGACGCUGAGGCGCGAAAGCUAGGGGAGCAAACGGG
Molecule: ribosomal RNA, 253 nt
Filed under: uncultured bacterium
Lineage: Bacteria
Description: partial 16S ribosomal RNA
Rfam family: Bacterial small subunit ribosomal RNA
Source: RNAcentral